RNAcentral lists this ribosomal RNA (573 nucleotides) under uncultured bacterium. RNAcentral's name for it is "bacterial SSU rRNA". It matches the Rfam family "Bacterial small subunit ribosomal RNA", at positions 9 to 578 of the family's 1533-position model. The record is from RNAcentral.
GAGUUUGAUCCUGGCUCAGGAUGAACGCUGGCGGCGUGCUUAACACAUGCAAGUCGAACGAAGCACUCUUUUAGAUUUCCUUCGGGGAAGAAGAAAUUGUGACUGAGUGGCGGACGGGUGAGUAACGCGUGGGCAACCUGCCCCAUACAGGGGGAUAACAGCCGGAAACGGCUGCUAAAACCGCAUAAGCGCACAAGGGCCGCAUGGCCUGGUGUGAAAAACUCCGGUGGUAUGGGAUGGGCCCGCGUCUGAUUAGCUAGUUGGCGGGGGAGAGGCCCACCAAGGCGACGAUCAGUAGCCGACCUGAGAGGGUGGCCGGCCACAUUGGGACUGAGACACGGCCCAAACUCCUACGGGAGGCAGCAGUGGGGAAUAUUGCACAAUGGGGGAAACCCUGAUGCAGCGACGCCGCGUGAGCGAAGAAGUAUUUCGGUAUGUAAAGCUCUAUCAGCAGGGAAGAAAAAUGACGGUACCUGAGUAAGAAGCACCGGUUAAAUACGUGCCAGCAGCCGCGGUAAUACGUAUGGUGCAAGCGUUAUCCGGAUUUACUGGGUGUAAAGGGAGCGCAGGCGG